AAAGGAUAUAAUUAUAAUAUUGGGGGCUAUAUAAUAGCAUUGAUGAACAUACAUGAUUAUAGCUACGGACAGCUGUACGACGACACGUCAUUUUGACCAGUGAUUUUACAGUGCGCCGAUACAAGAUGGCUUGGAAUUCAAUAAGUGCUCUCAACUAUUCCGACUCCGUGAAGGAAAUUCUUGAGGAGUUUAAGAAAGACGGUGUAACUAUCGAAGAGGGACGCAAAAUGGCGAUAGAGCAGAAUAUUCGCUCAGAUCAUCCAAUAUGGUCACAAUUGAAUAGAGUGCCAAAUACGCUUUAUAACAUGUGCCGCUGGUCACUUAGGAAUCGAAGAAACAUUUCCCCGCGGGAGCUACCGAAUAUGUUAAUAAAGGAUAUACACCCUUUUAUCAAAGCUAAGAACGUGGAACGACGAAAGGAAUUCACACCUUGACAAGGUAAACAAAAAUCAAACCCAUUGAAGUAGUAGACAGUGCCUCAGAUGAUGACGACGACAACUAUAUAUCUCGGGCU
This is a long non-coding RNA of Saccoglossus kowalevskii, 514 nucleotides long. The record is from RefSeq and is a predicted model, not a curated record. Lineage: Eukaryota; Metazoa; Hemichordata; Enteropneusta; Harrimaniidae.